RNAcentral lists this ribosomal RNA (443 nucleotides) under uncultured bacterium. RNAcentral describes it as "partial 16S ribosomal RNA". It matches the Rfam family "Bacterial small subunit ribosomal RNA", at positions 338 to 795 of the family's 1533-position model. The record is from RNAcentral.
CCUACGGGCGGCAGCAGUGGGGAAUAUUGGGCAAUGGAGGAAACUCUGACCCAGCAACGCAGCGUGAAUGAUGAAGGUCCUCGGAUUGUAAAGCUCCUUUUUAAGGGAAGAAGACAGUGACGCUACCUUCUCAAUAAGCCUCUGCUAACUACGUGCCAGCAUCCGCGGUAAUACGUAGGAGGCGAGCGUUGUCCGUAAUGACUGGGCGUAAAGGGUGCGUAGGUGGGUUGGCAAGUUAGUAGCGUAACUCCAAGGCUCAACCUUGGAACUACUACUGAAACUGUUGGACUUGAGUGCAGGAGGGGCAAGCGGAAUUCGUGGUGUAGCGGUGGAAUGCGUAGAUAUUAGGAAGAACACCAGUGGCGAAGGCAGGUUGCUAGACUGUAACUGACACUGAGGCACGAAAGCGUGGGGAGCAAACAGGAUUAGAUACCCGAGUAGUC